RNAcentral lists this ribosomal RNA (609 nucleotides) under Balta longicercata. RNAcentral's name for it is "eukaryotic LSU rRNA". It matches the Rfam family "Eukaryotic large subunit ribosomal RNA", at positions 670 to 1140 of the family's 3401-position model. Lineage: Eukaryota; Metazoa; Arthropoda; Insecta; Blattodea; Pseudophyllodromiidae. The record is from RNAcentral.
GGAGUCUAACAUGUACGCGAGUCUAAGGGUCCUGCUAAACCCGAAGGCGAAGCGAAAGCGAAGCCGGUCGGCGAAGCYUUCCCUCCGGGGGGGGUCUAGUCGGCGUCGGAGCUUCUAAGGGAAGAUGGUUUUCUCCUGUSCCGUCCCUGCGSCGGCCUGGGGUGCCCGCACUCCCGGGGCGUGUCCAUUGAGGACGUUGAAGCGUACCUUGAGCGCACAUGUUAGGACCCGAAAGAUGGUGAACUACGCCUGGCCAGGUCGAAGUCAGGGGAAACCCUGAUGGAGGACCGCAGCGAUUCUGACGUGCAAAUCGAUCGUCUGAGCUGGGUGUAGGGGCGAAAGACCAAUCGAACCAUCUAGUAGCUGGUUCCCUCCGAAGUUUCCCUCAGGAUAGCUGGCGCUCGUUUGGAAAGUGGAGUCACAUCCGGUAAAGCGAAUGAUUAGAGGCCUUGGGGUCGAAACGAUCUCAACCUAUUCUCAAACUUUAAAUGGGUGCGAUCCCCGGCUUUCUUGAACCCACUACUUUCCAGGGUAUGCCCGCCUAGGCUCCUGGAGUUUGUACUCUUGAAGCCGGGGUACUGAUCAGAGUGCCAAGUGGGCCAAUUUUUG